Molecule: long non-coding RNA, 352 nt
Organism: Octopus bimaculoides (California two-spot octopus)
Lineage: Eukaryota; Metazoa; Mollusca; Cephalopoda; Octopoda; Octopodidae
Source: RefSeq, a predicted model, not a curated record
AAAGUAGAUAAAUACUUGACUAGUGAGAUCGCGAUAAGAAUUUCGUGUUAGUAUUUUGUAUCGAAUUGUGCGUCGCAGGAGGAAUCUAGGUCCGCCAUGGAUUUUUAAAAUACAAUAAUGGCUCUUGAGAUUUUUGAAGUCUUAGACCAAGGAAGAAAGGCAGUGUCUACAGCCCUUGCAUACUCUACAGGUUAUUAUGCCACUGUUCAAACAGGAAAGCAUACCUUUAGAUGAUUUGGAAGAAAUUGGAUCAAUAAAAGAUUAACAAAAAUAAAAUAAGAAAAAUAUAUUAUCAACAGUAAAACAUUACAAAAUAUGAAAUAAAAACAAAUACGAAAUGAAAUUUAAAAAA